RNAcentral lists this ribosomal RNA (268 nucleotides) under uncultured Pseudomonas sp. RNAcentral's name for it is "partial 16S ribosomal RNA". It matches the Rfam family "Bacterial small subunit ribosomal RNA", at positions 1115 to 1382 of the family's 1533-position model. The record is from RNAcentral. Lineage: Bacteria; Pseudomonadati; Pseudomonadota; Gammaproteobacteria; Pseudomonadales; Pseudomonadaceae.
GUACCAGCACGUUAUGGUGGGCACUCUAAGGAGACUGCCGGUGACAAACCGGAGGAAGGUGGGGAUGACGUCAAGUCAUCAUGGCCCUUACGGCCUGGGCUACACACGUGCUACAAUGGUCGGUACAAAGGGUUGCCAAGCCGCGAGGUGGAGCUAAUCCCAUAAAACCGAUCGUAGUCCGGAUCGCAGUCUGCAACUCGACUGCGUGAAGUCGGAAUCGCUAGUAAUCGUGAAUCAGAAUGUCACGGUGAAUACGUUCCCGGGCCUU